This 76-nucleotide transfer RNA is filed under the name Paenibacillus sp. MYb63. RNAcentral describes it as "tRNA-Asn". It matches the Rfam family "tRNA". From Rfam's summary of the family: Transfer RNA (tRNA) molecules are approximately 80 nucleotides in length. Their secondary structure includes four short double-helical elements and three loops (D, anti-codon, and T loops). Lineage: Bacteria; Bacillati; Bacillota; Bacilli; Caryophanales; Paenibacillaceae. RNAcentral also lists the same sequence under 1 other name. The record is from RNAcentral.
UCCCGGAUCUCUCAGUUGGUAGAGCACUCGACGGUUAAUCGAGUUGUCACAGGUCCGAGCCCUGUUCGGGGAGCUA